ACAAGCGGUGGAGCAUGUGGUUUAAUUCGAAGCUACGCGAAGAACCUUACCAGGUCUUGACAUACUAUGCAAAUCUAAGAGAUUAGACGUUCCCUUCGGGGACAUGGAUACAGGUGGUGCAUGGUUGUCGUCAGCUCGUGUCGUGAGAUGUUGGGUUAAGUCCCGCAACGAGCGCAACCCUUAUUAUCAGUUGCCAGCAUUAAGUUGGGCACUCUGGUGAGACUGCCGGUGACAAACCGGAGGAAGGUGGGGAUGACGUCAAAUCAUCAUGCCCCUUAUGACCUGGGCUA
Molecule: ribosomal RNA, 290 nt
Filed under: uncultured Bacillus sp.
Lineage: Bacteria; Bacillati; Bacillota; Bacilli; Caryophanales; Bacillaceae
Description: partial 16S ribosomal RNA
Rfam family: Bacterial small subunit ribosomal RNA
Source: RNAcentral